Molecule: small RNA, 40 nt
Filed under: Arabidopsis thaliana (thale cress)
Lineage: Eukaryota; Viridiplantae; Streptophyta; Magnoliopsida; Brassicales; Brassicaceae
Description: ATSL181040
Source: RNAcentral
AAAAAAAAACGAAAACAAAUUUUUUCUUCUUCUUUUUGUA